GAUGAACGCUAGCGGCAGGCCUAAUACAUGCAAGUCGAACGGCAAGGAGUGUAGCAAUACAUUCCCUAGAGUGGCGCACGGGUGCGUAACGCGUAUGCAACCUACCUUCAACUGAGGGAUAGCCCCGGGAAACUGGGAUUAAUACUUCAUGGAAUCAUUAGCUCGCAUGGGUUUGGUGAUUAAAGUUUUAANGGUUGGAGAUGGGCAUGCGUGACAUUAGCUAGUUGGUAAGGUAACGGCUUACCAAGGCUACGAUGUCUAGGGGUUCUGAGAGGAUGAUCCCCCACACUGGUACUGAGAUACGGACCAGACUCCUACGGGAGGCAGCAGUAGGGAAUAUUGGUCAAUGGACGGAAGUCUGAACCAGCCAUGCCGCGUGCAGGAUGACGGCCCUCUGGGUUGUAACUGCUUUGUACGGAGAAACCCCUUCGGUUGGAGGGCUGACGGUACCGUAAGAAUAAGGAUCGGCUAACUACGUGCCAGCAGCCGC
RNAcentral lists this ribosomal RNA (490 nucleotides) under uncultured bacterium. RNAcentral's name for it is "bacterial SSU rRNA". It matches the Rfam family "Bacterial small subunit ribosomal RNA", at positions 28 to 518 of the family's 1533-position model. The record is from RNAcentral.